This 128-nucleotide unclassified non-coding RNA is filed under the name soil metagenome. RNAcentral describes it as "partial internal transcribed spacer 1". The record is from RNAcentral.
CGAAUGGGUCCAAAGACUCUUAAAACCUACCGUGCUCCCCUAUGUGGAAAACAGGAGAGCCCUCCGGGGCAUAGGAAAUCUGAGAAGUUGAGAACUGCGCCCCGGCGCAUGACUAAAACAAAAAAUUA